Glycine soja is the source of this 3641-nucleotide RNA transcript. It is a transcript of the gene named disease resistance RPP8-like protein 3, with no coding region annotated. The record is from RefSeq and is a predicted model, not a curated record. NCBI's taxonomy places the organism in Eukaryota, Viridiplantae, Streptophyta, Magnoliopsida, Fabales, Fabaceae. The transcript has 3 exons.
UAAUUCGUUAUUUGUAAGUCAAACUUCUGUGGGAAAUAAAAGUUAACAAAGUCGCAGUUGAUUGAAGGAAGCUUCUCAUCACCACACACGAAAGAAGUGGAACAGAAACCCCCGUUUGCAGAAGAUCUAGUCUUGUUGGGAGAAACAGAGCAGAGAAGAAGACAACAUAAGAUGGCCGAGGUUGCUGUGUCAACGGUCGUUACCAAGCUGACGGAGCUGCUGGUGGAACAAGCAGCAGUGGCGGCGGUGUCGGUUUCACAGCUGGCAGGGGUGAGAGAGCAAGUGGAGAACCUGAAGAACGAAUUGGGGUGGAUGCAGAGCUUUCUGAGGGACGCAGAUGCAAAACAAGAAGGCAACGACCGCGUUCGCAUGUGGGUGUCGGAAAUCCGAGACGUGGCUUUCGAAGCAGAGGAGCUCAUAGAAACCUACGUGUACAAGACCACCAUGCAGAGCAGCUUAGACAAGGUGUUCAGACCCUUUCAUCUCUACAAGGUGAGGACCAGAAUCGACAAGAUCCUGUCCAAGAUCAAGAGCAUAUCCGACCGGCGCGAAACAUACGGCGUCGUUGUAAUGACCCGUGAUGAUGGCAACAACAGUAACGAAAGGUUGAGGCACUGGAGACAGCCUUCUCCUUAUUCUGAAGAGGAGUAUGUUAUUGAGCUUGAGGAUGACAUGCGGCUGCUUUUUACCCAGUUGCUUGCAGUGGAGCCAACGCCUCAUGUGGUUUCUAUUGUUGGUAUGGGUGGUUUGGGGAAAACCACUUUGGCUAAGAAGCUCUACAAUCACACCAGAAUCACCAACCAUUUUGAGUGCAAAGCGUGGGUGUAUGUAUCUAAGGAGUAUAGGAGGAGGGAUGUGUUGCAAGGGAUUCUCAGGGAUGUGGAUGCUCUCACCAGAGAUGAAAUGGAGAAAAUACCCGAGGAAGAGUUGGUCAACAAGCUCCGCAAUGUGUUGAGUGAGAAACGGUAUUUGGUGGUGCUUGAUGACAUAUGGGGCAUGGAGGUUUGGGAUGGUUUAAAAUCUGCAUUUCCCAGAGGGAAGAUGGGAAGUAAGAUAUUGCUCACCACAAGGAAUGGGGAUGUUGCUUUACAUGCUGAUGCUUGUAGCAAUCCUCAUCAGUUGAGGACUUUGACAGAAGAUGAGAGUUUCAGAUUGCUCUGCAACAAAGCGUUCCCCGGAGCGAACGGCAUCCCGUUAGAGUUGGUUCAGUUGAAGAGUCUUGCAAAGGAGAUUGUGGUUAAAUGUGGAGGUUUGCCUUUGGCUGUGGUAGUGGUUGGUGGUUUGCUGUCUAGGAAACUCAAGUCAAGUGGGGAAUGGAAGCGGGUGCUGCAAAAUAUCAGCUGGCACUUGCUAGAAGAGCAAGAGAAGAUAGCUAGAAUUUUGGCCCUUAGCUACAAUGAUCUGCCUCCUCAUUUGAAGUCUUGCUUUCUAUAUUUGGGUCUUUUCCCAGAGGGUGUGAACAUUCAGACGAAAAAAUUGAUCAGACUAUGGGUGGCGGAGGGAUUUCUACUGCAAGAAGGAGAAGAAACUGCAGAAGGUGUUGCUCAGAAAUACUUGAAUGAAUUGAUUGGUAGGUGCAUGAUUCAAGUGGGAACAGUAAGCUCAUUAGGAAGAGUCAAAACAAUUCGCAUCCACCAUCUUCUUAGAGAUCUUUCACUCUCUAAAGGAAAAGAAGAAUAUUUUCUCAAAAUAUUUCAGGGUGAUGUGGCAGGUCAAUCGACUAAAGCCCGGCGCCAUUCCAUGCAUUCUUGCCAUGACAGGUAUGACUCCUUAAAACACAAUGCUGGUCAUUCACGUUCCCUGCUGUUCUUCAACAGAGAAUAUAAUGAUAUAGUGAGGAAACUCUGGCAUCCUUUGAAUUUUCAGCAAGAAAAGAAAUUGAAUUUCAUCUACAGGAAAUUUAAGCUGCUCAGGGUAUUAGAAUUAGAUGGUGUUCGGGUAGUUAGCCUGCCAAGUUUGAUAGGGGACUUGAUUCAAUUGAGGUAUCUAGGAUUGAGGAAGACUAAUCUAGAAAAAAAACUUCCACCUUCCAUUGGAAACUUGCAAAACCUACAGACACUUGAUUUAAGGUAUUGUUGUUUUUUGAUGAAAAUACCAAACGUAAUUUGGAAGAUGGUGAACUUGAGACAUCUCCUCCUGUACACUCCAUUUGAUUCUCCAGAUAGCAGCCAUCUACGGAUGGAUACAUUAACCAAUCUACAAACCCUACCGCACAUUGAGGCUGGAAACUGGAUAGUAGAUGGUGGUUUAGCGAAUAUGAUCAACCUCAGGCAAUUGGGGAUUUGUGAAUUAUCAGGACAAAUGGUGAAUUCUGUUCUUUCUACUGUACAAGGAUUACACAACCUCCAUUCACUGUCACUAUCACUUCAAUCUGAAGAGGAUGAAUUUCCAAUCUUUAUGCAGCUGUCUCAGUGCACUCAUCUUCAGAAACUCUCUUUAAAUGGAAAGAUCAAGAAGCUACCUGAUCCACACGAAUUCCCACCAAACCUCUUAAAACUAACUCUGCAUAACUCCCACCUACAGAAGGAGUCUAUUGCCAAACUGGAGAGAUUGCCAAACCUUAAAGUGCUCAUUUUGGGUAAAGGGGCAUACAAUUGGCCGGAACUGAACUUCAAUGGUGAAGGGUUUCCACAACUGCAUAUUUUGCGACUUGUUCUUUUGAAAGAAUUGGAGGAGUGGACAGUUGAGGAAAAUGCAAUGCCAAGGCUUGAGAACAUGGUUAUUGACCGCUGUGAGAAGCUGAAAAAGAUUCCAGAAGGACUGAAAGCUAUCACUUCUCUGAAGAAAUUAAAAAUUAUAGGAAUGCCAGUAGAAUUUGAACAUAAACUUCGGACUAAAGAUUUGUUCGACUUCACAAAUACUCCAGUAAUUGAAUCAACUACAGACAUUUUGGCAAUUGAUUAGUUUCUGGCACAAUGUUAGUGGGUGGCACAUGCCUUCAGCUAUGGAAUGGAAGCAUUUUCAAGUAUUGGCACUCCAAUUUUCAGCAUGCCUGCUUUAGUUUAUUGUUGACAAUAUACAUACUGCUUGAUGAAGUGACAAGCACUGAUAACUUUUUCCACUUCUAUGCACCCAGGAUGUUACUCCCUUUCAUCCUUUGGGAAUGGCUUCCAAUAACUAAUUGUGAAUGCCAUUAGAUGUGGAACUUGUGUGAGCAGUACAUAGAGCAUUUCUCUGAGAUUGAACAGCUAUGCCAAAUUCAACAGAAACCUUUUGCUCACAAAAGGAUAUCUCAAUUACAGCAAGUGUUGGUGCAGUAUAAAGAAUUUCAUUGUUAUGUAAUGCAACCUUCUCGCAGUAACUACAGAAAAAACUUGUCAUUAUUAAUCUCAGUAAUCAAGUAAGUUCUGUACCUCAUUCCGUUUUGACAUUUGCAUCAACCUUCUCGCCCAUGAACGGGCAUAAUGCAUUAUUCUGUUUUGCACCUCCAUUCAUUGUUCUACCUCAGACUAUAAAAAGCCUGAAACAAGGUAACUUCUUUUUCUUCAUAAAAAAAGGAAAAGGCAGCACCUUCUAUUGCACUAGAUUUUUUGGUUUUCCUUCUUUUGCAUUAGAUUAUUAGUGUGAUUAGAUUAAGUUCAUGCUGAGAAAUAAUCAAUUAUGUUUUCACGGUGAGCACGCUAGUACCUAUUUUUGUUUUU